AACCUUAUGGACCUGCGGGCGUAUACCUGCGGAAGGAUCAUUAAAAAGAGUGUGUACCCCCCUGUAAAAUGGGUGGGUUACCUCCCGUCCUUUGUUGACCUCUUAGGAGGUUAUUUUGAACUUUUCUGCUUCGGUGGGGUUAAACCUACCGGAACACCCUCAAAUUCUGAUCAUUUAAAAAUUGUUCAGUCCGAUUUUUGUUAAUAAAAACAAAAAACUUUUAACAAUGGAUCUCAGAUC
This 240-nucleotide unclassified non-coding RNA is filed under the name soil metagenome. RNAcentral describes it as "partial contains 5.8S ribosomal RNA, internal transcribed spacer 2, and large subunit ribosomal RNA". The record is from RNAcentral.